CAAGUUGAGCAGACAGUCGCUGCAAAUAACAGCGUUGGUUAUUAAGUAGUUAACCAUUUUUUGUUAUUUGGAGAGGAAAGUCCGGGCUCCAAAGGGUAGGAUGCCAGGUAACGCCUGGGGGGCGCGAGCCUACGGAAAGUGCAGCAGAGAGAAGACCGCCUAAGCCUGAUAAACCAGGCCGGCAAGGGUGAAAGGGUACGGUAAGAGCGUACCGCGCAGCUGGUAACAGCUUGUGGCAAGGUAAACCCCAUCCGGAGCAAGGCCAAAUAGAGAUUCUUUAGUGUGACCCGCACUGAAUCCGGGUAGGCUGCUUGAGGUGUGUGGUGACACACAUCCUAGAUGAAUGACUGUCAGGUUUAAACAUAAACUUUACAGAACCCGGCUUAUGAUUAACUUGCAAU
RNAcentral lists this RNase P RNA (401 nucleotides) under Endozoicomonadaceae bacterium. RNAcentral's name for it is "RNase P RNA component class A". It matches the Rfam family "Bacterial RNase P class A". From Rfam's summary of the family: Ribonuclease P (RNase P) is a ubiquitous endoribonuclease, found in archaea, bacteria and eukarya as well as chloroplasts and mitochondria. Its best characterised activity is the generation of mature 5'-ends of tRNAs by cleaving the 5'-leader elements of precursor-tRNAs. Cellular RNase Ps are ribonucleoproteins. The record is from RNAcentral. Lineage: Bacteria; Pseudomonadati; Pseudomonadota; Gammaproteobacteria; Oceanospirillales; Endozoicomonadaceae.